Molecule: long non-coding RNA, 233 nt
Organism: Onychomys torridus (southern grasshopper mouse)
Lineage: Eukaryota; Metazoa; Chordata; Mammalia; Rodentia; Cricetidae
Exons: 3
Source: RefSeq, a predicted model, not a curated record
ACUAUUGGGAAAGAUCUUAAUAGCUAUUCGAGAUGCAUGUUUUGAAAUCUCAGCAAUACAGAUGUUCAAUAUGGAUCGGGUUAAUGUUGAAGAAUUCUAUGAAGUUUAUAAAGGCGUUGUGCCUGAGUAUAAUGAUAUGGUGACAGAAAUAUGCUCUGGCUCUUGUGUAGCCAUAGAGAUCCAGCAGAAUAAUCCUACAAAGACAUUUCGAGAGUUCUGUGGACCUGCCGAUC